RNAcentral lists this ribosomal RNA (441 nucleotides) under uncultured bacterium. Its description in RNAcentral is "bacterial SSU rRNA". It matches the Rfam family "Bacterial small subunit ribosomal RNA", at positions 335 to 767 of the family's 1533-position model. The record is from RNAcentral.
ACUCCUACGGGAGGCAGCAGUGGGGAAUAUUGCACAAUGGGCGCAAGCCUGAUGCAGCCAUGCCGCGUGUAUGAAGAAGGCCUUCGGGUUGUAAAGUACUUUCAGCAGUGAGGAAGGCAGGUACGUUAAUAGCGUGCUUGUUUGACGUUAGCUGCAGAAGAAGCACCGGCUAACUCCGUGCCAGCAGCCGCGGUAAUACGGAGGGUGCGAGCGUUAAUCGGAAUUACUGGGCGUAAAGCGCAUGCAGGUGGUUUGUUAAGUCAGAUGUGAAAGCCCGGGGCUCAACCUCGGAAUUGCAUUUGAAACUGGCAGACUAGAGUACUGUAGAGGGGGUAGAAUUUCAGGUGUAGCGGUGAAAUGCGUAGAGAUCUGAAGGAAUAACCGGUGGCGAAGGCGGCCCCCGUGGACAGAUACUGACACUCAGAUGCGAAAGCGUGGGGA